RNAcentral lists this ribosomal RNA (469 nucleotides) under uncultured Gammaproteobacteria bacterium. RNAcentral's name for it is "bacterial SSU rRNA". It matches the Rfam family "Bacterial small subunit ribosomal RNA", at positions 46 to 494 of the family's 1533-position model. Lineage: Bacteria; Pseudomonadati; Pseudomonadota; Gammaproteobacteria. The record is from RNAcentral.
GCCUAACACAUGCAAGUCGAGCGGAAACGACACUAACAAUCCUUCGGGUGCGUUAAUGGGCGUCGAGCGGCGGACGGGUGAGUAAUGCCUAGGAAAUUGCCUUGAUGUGGGGGAUAACCAUUGGAAACGAUGGCUAAUACCGCAUAAUGCCUACGGGCCAAAGAGGGGGACCUUCGGGCCUCUCGCGUCAAGAUAUGCCUAGGUGGGAUUAGCUAGUUGGUGAGGUAAUGGCUCACCAAGGCGACGAUCCCUAGCUGGUCUGAGAGGAUGAUCAGCCACACUGGAACUGAGACACGGUCCAGACUCCUACGGGAGGCAGCAGUGGGGAAUAUUGCACAAUGGGCGAAAGCCUGAUGCAGCCAUGCCGCGUGUAUGAAGAAGGCCUUCGGGUUGUAAAGUACUUUCAGUUGUGAGGAAGGGGGUAGUGUUAAUAGCGCUAUAUCUUGACGUUAGCAACANAAGAAGCACC